GCGGUGGAGCACGUGGUUUAAUUCGAUGACAAACCGAAGAACCUUUACCUGGGUUUGACAUGUACGUGGUACGGAUCUGAAAGGUGAAGGACCCGGUCUUCGGACUGGGAGCGUACACAGGUGCUGCAUGGUUGUCGUCAGCUCGUGCCGUGAGGUGUCGGGUUAAGUCCCAUAACGAGCGCAACCCCUAUCAUUAGUUGCCAUCAGGUCAAGCUGGGGACUCUAAUGAAACUGCCUACGCAAGUAGUGAGGAAGGUGGGGAUGACGUCAAAUCAGCACGGCCCUUACGUCCAGGGCUACACACGUACUACAAUGGCCGAUACAAAGGGCAGCGACACUGCGAGGUGAAGCCAAUCCCGUAAAAUCGGUCUCAGUCCGGAUUGGAGUCUGCAACUCGACUCCAUGAAGUUGGAAUCGCUAGUAAUCGCGCAUCAGCCAUGGCGCGGUGAAUACGUUCCCGGGCCUU
This 466-nucleotide ribosomal RNA is filed under the name uncultured Sphingobacteriales bacterium. RNAcentral's name for it is "bacterial SSU rRNA". It matches the Rfam family "Bacterial small subunit ribosomal RNA", at positions 929 to 1382 of the family's 1533-position model. The record is from RNAcentral. Lineage: Bacteria; Pseudomonadati; Bacteroidota; Sphingobacteriia; Sphingobacteriales.